GAUGAAGAACGUAGCGAAAUGCGAUAAGUAAUGUGAAUUGCAGAAUUCAGUGAAUCAUCGAAUCUUUGAACGCACAUUGCGCCCCUUGGUAUUCCGAGGGGCAUGCCUAUUCGAGCGUCAUUAUCACCCCUCAAGCUCCGGCUUGGUGUUGAGGCCUGCUGUAAAGGCACCCUCUAAAAUCAGUGGCAGUGCUGUCAGGCUCUAAGCGUAGUAAUACUCUCGCUACAGGGUCCCGGUGGACACUCGCCAGAACCCCCCCAUUUUUUAAUGAUUGACCUCGGAUUAGGUAGGGAUACCCGCUGAACUUAAGCAUAUCAAUAAGCGGAGGA
This 329-nucleotide unclassified non-coding RNA is filed under the name soil metagenome. RNAcentral's name for it is "partial contains 5.8S ribosomal RNA, internal transcribed spacer 2, and large subunit ribosomal RNA". The stretch from base 1 to 120 matches the Rfam family "5.8S ribosomal RNA", at positions 35 to 154 of the family's 154-position model. The record is from RNAcentral.